AUCCCGUUUACAGGAGCAACGUAGACAAGAAACAGUUCAUCAGUCCAAUUGGAAUUGUCCUCAGUGAUCAAGUGUAUGCAUUUGCGCUAAAAAUGGAAAAAGAAAAAAAAGAACAAAGAGAAGAUAAAACAAUUUUACGCUAUAUUACGUGUGCAGGAAAACUUCAUUCUGAAGACAACAACAUUACUAUUAGAUGGAACGAUUUUUCCAAAGUUUUACUGAAACCAGAAGAAGAGUUGUUGAGCUUCGUUGCACUACCAGGUCGGUAUCAUUCGUAUAUCUUCCUUGGAUUUAUAAAUGUAUCUAAAGACAGACGAUUGCUAGGGAAGGUGUUUUCUUUCCUGCCAGACGGAAGCUUUAA
Long non-coding RNA from Anneissia japonica, 361 nucleotides. RefSeq lists it as uncharacterized. The record is from RefSeq and is a predicted model, not a curated record. NCBI's taxonomy places the organism in Eukaryota, Metazoa, Echinodermata, Crinoidea, Comatulida, Comatulidae. The transcript is spliced from 3 exons.